UGAAAAUACAAACCAUAGGUUUUGGACUGA
This 30-nucleotide non-coding RNA is filed under the name Rattus norvegicus (Norway rat). The record is from RNAcentral. Lineage: Eukaryota; Metazoa; Chordata; Mammalia; Rodentia; Muridae.